This 400-nucleotide ribosomal RNA is filed under the name Praedatrypaea sp. MOZ-34. RNAcentral describes it as "partial small subunit ribosomal RNA". It matches the Rfam family "Microsporidia small subunit ribosomal RNA", at positions 752 to 1279 of the family's 1311-position model. The record is from RNAcentral. Lineage: Eukaryota; Metazoa; Arthropoda; Malacostraca; Decapoda; Callianassidae.
AUUUUCAGCCGAAUACUUUAGUGCUAAAAAUUAAAAGCUACAUUCUCCAAAUUUAAAGGAUAUGGCGGUUGUUUAAUCUAAUUAGAGGAACCUGCUUGAUAAACGAUAAACCACGCAAGAUCUUACCUGAUUUCUAAGUUUGUAUACCGUCAUUAUUAGGCGACUUUUAAAAAAGUCUCUUUAAUAACGUUUAAUUAAUAUAUUAGAUCAAGGUGCAGCUAAUAAUCAGGACAGAGUGGGUUACAAUAAAAUUAAUUUACAACGAAUGCAAGUUUGAAACAACCUGCGGAAGGAGGAUUUAAUAGUAAAAUAAAUUUAAUAAGUUUCUCUGAUACUAGACCUAAACUAAGUACAUAUCGCCCGUCACUUUCACUACCAGGUGAAAUAAGUCGUAACAGAG